GACCCCGUUAAAGGUAGGGGGGAUAAACAGUUUAGGAAACAGAUGACUAAUACCGCAAUAAAACCUAACACCGCAGUGGUGGUAGGGUUGAAAGAUGGUUUCGGCUAUCACUUUAGGAUCGGACCCGCGGUGCAUUAGUUAGUUGGUGAGGUAAGGCUCACCAAGACCGUGAUGCAUAGCCGACCUGAGAGGGUAAUCGGCCACACUGGGACUGAGACACGGCCCAGACUCCUACGGAGGCAGCAGUAGGGAAUCUUCCACAAUGGACGAAAGUCUGAUGGAGCAACGCCGCGUGAGUGAAGAAGGUUUUCGGAUCGUAAAACUCUGUUGUUGGAGAAGAAUGUAUCUGAUAGUAACUGAUCAGGUAGUGACGGUAUCCAACCAGAAAGCCACGGCUAACUACGUG
Molecule: ribosomal RNA, 406 nt
Filed under: uncultured bacterium
Lineage: Bacteria
Description: bacterial SSU rRNA
Rfam family: Bacterial small subunit ribosomal RNA
Source: RNAcentral